GACGAAGGGGGCUAGCGUUGUUCGGAAUUACUGGGCGUAAAGCGAGUGUAGGUGGUUGUCCAAGUUGGAUGUGAAAGCCUUGAGCUCAACUCAAGAAAUGCAUUCAGGACUGGGCGGCUAGAGGACCGGAGAGGAUAGUGGAAUUCCCAGUGUAGUGGUGAAAUGCGUAGAGAUUGGGAAGAACACCAGUGGCGAAGGCGGCUAUCUGGACGGUUUCUGACACUAAGACUCGAAAGCGUGGGGAGCAAACAGG
This 253-nucleotide ribosomal RNA is filed under the name uncultured bacterium. RNAcentral's name for it is "partial 16S ribosomal RNA". It matches the Rfam family "Bacterial small subunit ribosomal RNA", at positions 524 to 776 of the family's 1533-position model. The record is from RNAcentral.